UUGCAGGAACUUGAUCUUCCGAAGACUAACUCCCUUCCGAAGACACAAUAUCACUAAGUUGGGCGAGCCACGUGUCAAACCACUUUUUCGCAUCAACAAGAAGAUCAAACCUCAUUCAGAAUCAGAUCACCACCCCUGAUAUUAUUCCCAAAAUUGAAACAACUCAGCUUUUUCUAUAUGAAAGAGUGGGAAGAUUGGACGAAAGAGGAUUCUGAAAUUACAAUCAUGCCAUGCCUUUCUGAGUUGACAAUUCUACAUUGCCCUUUACUAAAAGCACUGCCAGACUUCCUCUUCAAAACACCACUGCAGACUCUUCGCAUACGUGGAUCUGAGAGAGUUGCGCGUUACCAAGAAGGCAAUGGAGAGUGGGCCAAGAUUUCUGCUACGAACCCAAACAUCCGCAUUAUCAGGGAAUAUUUAUGAAAACAUCUGUCUCCGCAGCAUAUAGUCUUGAGAUGGUGACUCGCUAGGAUUUUCUUUUCGUAGUUACUGGAGCUCUUUUCGCGGCAUGGGAGCGAGGGAAGAGUGAAUAUGACCCCAAGUUUCAUUUUAAUUCACCUUCAAGUGUCAUCAAGUUGCUCAAAGGCUAUAUGAGGGACUCUAUGGAAGCAAACGGAGUGGCGUAAACCAUCAAAGUCAGCCUACGGAAGUUCCAAUAACUGAAAUUUUGAUAAUUUUCAUCAAAGGUCAGCCUUGAGAACAGAGACAUGAUGAAUUUCGAAGGUCUACUGAGCUUUUGAUUUACAAACAUUGAUGAGUACCCUUAUUUUUUGUUUUGUAAGUAGAAACUUCGUGAACACCUUAUUUUUAAGGGACACGCAACAUCGACUGUAUAUAUAACUAAUCUACUGGUGUAUUGAUCAUUUGCAAAACUUCCUUUGUGUCAUUAAUUUGUAAAAUGUACUCUGAGGAAGUGGUGAAUUUGGGUUUGCAAUUUACCUUGACUUUCGCUUA
This is a long non-coding RNA of Prunus dulcis (almond), 954 nucleotides long. RefSeq lists it as uncharacterized. The record is from RefSeq and is a predicted model, not a curated record. The transcript is spliced from 4 exons. Lineage: Eukaryota; Viridiplantae; Streptophyta; Magnoliopsida; Rosales; Rosaceae.